This 618-nucleotide ribosomal RNA is filed under the name uncultured bacterium. Its description in RNAcentral is "bacterial SSU rRNA". It matches the Rfam family "Bacterial small subunit ribosomal RNA", at positions 238 to 847 of the family's 1533-position model. The record is from RNAcentral.
GCAUUAGCUAGUUGGUAAGGUAACGGCUUACCAAGGCAAUGAUGCAUAGCCGAGUUGAGAGACUGAUCGGCCACAUUGGGACUGAGACACGGCCCAAACUCCUACGGGAGGCAGCAGUAGGGAAUCUUCCACAAUGGACGAAAGUCUGAUGGAGCAACGCCGCGUGAGUGAAGAAGGGUUUCGGCUCGUAAAGCUCUGUUGGUAGUGAAGAAAGAUAGAGGUAGUAACUGGCCUUUAUUUGACGGUAAUUACUUAGAAAGUCACGGCUAACUACGUGCCAGCAGCCGCGGUAAUACGUAGGUGGCAAGCGUUGUCCGGAUUUAUUGGGCGUAAAGCGAGUGCAGGCGGUUCAAUAAGUCUGAUGUGAAAGCCUUCGGCUCAACCGGAGAAUUGCAUCAGAAACUGUUGAACUUGAGUGCAGAAGAGGAGAGUGGAACUCCAUGUGUAGCGGUGGAAUGCGUAGAUAUAUGGAAGAACACCAGUGGCGAAGGCGGCUCUCUGGUCUGCAACUGACGCUGAGGCUCGAAAGCAUGGGUAGCGAACAGGAUUAGAUACCCUGGUAGUCCAUGCCGUAAACGAUGAGUGCUAAGUGUUGGGAGGUUUCCGCCUCUCAGUGCU